UACGUAGGGGGCAAGCGUUGUCCGGAUUUAUUGGGCGUAAAGAGCGUGUAGGCGGCCAGAUAGGUCUGUUGUGAAAACUCGAGGCUCAACCUCGAGACGCCGAUGGAAACCAUCUGGCUAGAGUCCGGAAGAGGAGAGUGGAAUUCCUGGUGUAGCGGUGAAAUGCGCAGAUAUCAGGAAGAACACCCGUGGCUAAGGCGGCUCUCUAGUACGGUACUGACGCUGAGACGCGAAAGCGUGGGGAGCAAACAGG
This 253-nucleotide ribosomal RNA is filed under the name uncultured bacterium. Its description in RNAcentral is "partial 16S ribosomal RNA". It matches the Rfam family "Bacterial small subunit ribosomal RNA", at positions 524 to 776 of the family's 1533-position model. The record is from RNAcentral.